CAGAGCAGUACUAAAUUUUGAAAGAUUCAGGGGAAAUUGGGUCAGUUCUUGGGCCAACUAAGUGUCUUGUAUAUUUUGAAGCAUAUGGUAGAGAAGUCGAAAUUCAGAUGAGGCAGAAGAUAAAACAUUUCCACAGAGAUAGCACACACAGAGGUAGGAAGAUGAAGUCCAGGAGGUAGGCUGGUGAACUUUUGCCUCAGGCACUGCGUCAUGGAAAACUUAAGAACUUCCAUUCCUCUGCUAAACAAGAACAACACAAAUGUGGAGGAUUUGGAGGCUGGCAUCAAGGAUAUGGCCAUCAUCCAGCCUUUGGAUGAAAGGAGGAG
Molecule: long non-coding RNA, 326 nt
Filed under: Suricata suricatta (meerkat)
Lineage: Eukaryota; Metazoa; Chordata; Mammalia; Carnivora; Herpestidae
Description: lncRNA (ENSSSUG00005000173.1)
Source: RNAcentral